Molecule: long non-coding RNA, 1366 nt
Filed under: Sus scrofa (pig)
Lineage: Eukaryota; Metazoa; Chordata; Mammalia; Artiodactyla; Suidae
Description: lncRNA (ENSSSCG00035024506.1)
Source: RNAcentral
GCCGCAUCUGUGGCAUAUGGAAGUUCCCAGGCUAAGGUUCAAAUAUGAACUGCAGCUGAGACCUCUGCCACAGCCACAGCAACACCAUAUCCAAGUCGCAUGUGUGACCUAUGCCACAGCUUGCGACAACCCCAGAUCCUUAACCCACUGAUCGAGGCCAGGGAUUGAACCCUCAUCCUCACGGACACUAUAUUGGGAUCUUAAUCCAUUGAGUCACAAUAGGAACUCUGACCCCAUGGGAUUUUCUUGUUGUUGUUGUUUUUCAAAGACAAUUGCUUCUUCCUGGAUUGGUAUUGUGUGAGAGGGGUUCAGGGCUAAAAUGAAUAGAUCUCUAACCAAAGAUCUUAAUAGGGAUAAAAAUUACUUUUGACAAAUCCCACUCUAAAUCAUUGUAGUGGGCAACUCUGAGCACCAAAAACGAACAAGAGUUACAAUGUCUGAGGGCUUUGUCUCCUUUGUCAACAAGAAUAUGUGGUUUAGAGGUACAAGCCACCAACCAGUGACCCCCUGGAAGGCCACCACCAAGAGAGCUGCUUCCUGACUCCAGUUCUGGGUGACCCUGUCUGUGGCUUGCUGAGGAGUCUACUGAUGUUCUACCCUAACUCCCACCCUUGCUGCUGUUACUCCCCUGAGUAACAGAACCCUGAGUUUAUUUCAGGCAACAGUGUACCCAACUAAACAGGUCCCAGCCUUCCUUGCAGCUAAGUGUGGCCAUGUGGUUAGAGUCUGCCCAAUGAGGUAUAAGCUGAGAAGUUGUCAGUGGAUUCCAGAAAGUCUCAUUAAAAGGGAGGGGACACUUUCACCUCUUUUCACUGCUCCUUCCUGUUGCCUGGAAUGAGGUGAUGGUUGCUGAGCUCAAGCAGCCAUCUUGGACUUAGAUGAUGCGAGGAGGAAAGCUUCCUGGUGGCAGAGUUCCCACUGGGGCUCAGCAGGUUCAAAACCCAAUGUAGUCUCUGUAAGGAUGCGGCUUCGAUGCCUGGCCUCACUCAGUGGGUUAAGGAUCUAGUGUUGCCACAAGCUGUAGCAUAGCUUGCAGAUGUGGCUUGAAUCUGAUAUUGCUGUGGCUGUAGCGCAGGCUGGCAGCUGCAGCUCUGAUUUGACCCCUAGCCCAGGAAUUUCCAUAUGCUGCAGGUGCAGCUGUAAAAAGAAAAAAAAAACAACCCAAAAAAACAAAAAACUUCUUGCUACUCUUUAAGGGUCUUUGUCAUCGUCAGCAGAUGCAGUUUCUAACUGAUAUGUGGAAGCUCACUGGGCCUCAUUUUGUGGAAGGGCAAAGGUGUCCACAGUUCCUCUAAGCCAACUGCUACUUCUGCUCUCUCUGGAAGAAUCAUCCUGCCCAAGAGGGCCCAAUUCUUUCACAACUUUC